RNAcentral lists this transfer RNA (73 nucleotides) under Felis catus (domestic cat). It matches the Rfam family "tRNA". From Rfam's summary of the family: Transfer RNA (tRNA) molecules are approximately 80 nucleotides in length. The record is from Rfam by way of RNAcentral. Lineage: Eukaryota; Metazoa; Chordata; Mammalia; Carnivora; Felidae.
GCCUGGCUGCCUCAGUCGGUAGAGCGGGAGACUCUUGAUCUCGGGGUCGUGAGUUCGAGCCCCGCGCUGGGUA